RNAcentral lists this transfer RNA (76 nucleotides) under Burkholderia ubonensis. RNAcentral's name for it is "tRNA-Gln". It matches the Rfam family "tRNA". From Rfam's summary of the family: Transfer RNA (tRNA) molecules are approximately 80 nucleotides in length. Their secondary structure includes four short double-helical elements and three loops (D, anti-codon, and T loops). Lineage: Bacteria; Pseudomonadati; Pseudomonadota; Betaproteobacteria; Burkholderiales; Burkholderiaceae. The record is from RNAcentral.
CGCCGGGUGGCGCAAUUGGUAGCGCAGCGGGUUUUGAUCCCGUUGGUUGCGGGUUCGAGUCCCGCCCCGGUUGCCA